Molecule: long non-coding RNA, 667 nt
Organism: Saccostrea cuccullata (small rock oyster)
Lineage: Eukaryota; Metazoa; Mollusca; Bivalvia; Ostreida; Ostreidae
Exons: 4
Source: RefSeq, a predicted model, not a curated record
UCUGCUGCUCAUGGAUGGGUAGAGCACAUUGAAGACUGGCGUAAACUGACCAGUGCCAUCAACAAGUCUGAGGAGCGUAGGGAACUUCCCACCAUACCACAACCUACGCACCAGAUGGAAUGGUUGGCUAGUCAACUUUAAGCACAGAGCAAUGCGCCGUGACGUACCAAAACAGAGACAACCCAAAGUCUCCAAGAGUCACGACUUAAACUCCUCCUUUUACGUCUUCUAAAGAGUAGAAUGUUCUUGGUAUAAAAGAUGGAAAGAUACUUUGUCGGCAGUGAACAUGAAAUGGUUACUAGUAUGAGUUGUACAAAGACAGUGUGGGAUACUUUACACAGACAUUGCUUGAGUUUGCCUGUUCAACUUGAUUGUGCUGGCAGAUUGAGACAGAGUGACUUCCCUUUGUCCAUGAACAGAGAAUGCAUGAUCCAAUACAUGCAAGGCAAACUAAGCAGGGACAGUCCUAGUAUUCAUGGCAAAUUCCAUAUGCCAUUACACGAGACAGCCAUACAAUUAAUACUUUUCUGGCAAUUUGCAUUUCUACUCUUUUUGGCAAAGGAGUUGGGAGUUUGACUCAGUACUACACCACUGUACUGACUACUACAGUAUAUUUUGGCAUUCUUUUUUGAGGCACACUGUAUUGACUACUAUAGUAUAUUUUUGC